CUCCUGAGAAACACCUUCCCCAAUCCCACCCUCUAUUUCUACCCUGCUCCCAUCCCUCAUUAAAACCCUAUCCCCUUCCCACCCCUCCCUACCCCACCCGCCCCUCCCUCCACUCCACCCCCCAUCUCCACCUCCUCCCCGUCACCCCAGCGCCCCUUGAAAGGACCAAGACAUGAAGGUGCAGAGGCUGUUGUUCUGGCUGCUCUUGCUCUGGUGUCCCAGUUCCCCAAACCCAAAUGAAGCUGGAAAAUACACACUGUGAACUGAAGGCACAGAAGAGUCAACUGGCAGCUGCUGAGGAAAAUUUGAAACUGGUUACCGAAGAGAUAGACAAGUAUAAACAAGAAAUUGGAGAAAUGCAAGAUCAGCUACAGAAGGCAGAGCUCAACUUCAAACUCAAGGUCGCAGCUCAUGAGAGAAGUGCUCUAGAUAAUUGGGUUAAGGCUCGGUUUUGGGAGAGGAAGAUAGUGCAGCAGAGCAGGGAGAACACCUACAUGAAACACAGACUGCACAUGAUGAGGAGAGACACGCCUCCUGAGGGAUCCAUGAGGCAGGAACCGAUGCCGGGAAGAUCCGAGAUAUGGAACCGUGUGCAGAGAGAAUCUAGACCGGUUCCCAGGAUGAACAGCAGCACCAGCCCGAAAAAGGACCCGGAGAUGGCUACGGUCAGUACGGAUGUGAGAGGGUUUCCUCGUACUCCAAGGCCCCCCCCAUAUGCCCUACCACAUGGGGCGGUGUUUACCAGGCUUCACUGGCUAUGGGCUACCUCAGCCUCCUCCACAUGGGCGGACUGUGGUGCCUCACCCACAGCUUGUUCCUCCACCACAUGGUAAGAUGAUCUGAAUUGGAUGACAUGAGUUGCAAAGUAUAUUCCUAGUUUAAUUACUUCUGUCAGUGGAGAAGAUGUAGAGGAGGUACCACAAGGCUUUGCGAUGCAAGGAUAGACCUGAGUGAGGACAUAAUAACAUUCCUCAGCUUUCUGUGGACGUCCAUUUCAUGGACUGUCUUGUUUCAUCCUACAGAACUGGGCAGCAGGUGUCUGCCAUGGAGACGAAAAGUGACAUUUUGCAAAAGACAAACAUGAAAGCAUUGCCCAGGUGCAUAGCACAGACACAAUGUUUUGGGCUCUGGGAUGGAUGGAAUGCAACCUUCCCAUCACUCUUUCUUGUGGAGGCCUCAUUUGUCCAAUGUUAUUGAAGAGUUAUGAAAACAUCUGUCCCUGGGUGGAGUGGUCACAUCCUCAGGGGUGAGGGACUGGCCUUCUCCUUUGUCCACAGGGGUAAGAGGAGACCUGUGAGAAACUCUCUGCAUCUGGAUGAGACGUGGGAGUGGGAGAGAGUGGAAUAGGGUGGGGCAGGUGUAGAGCCUUGGCUUACAUCCUGAAUGGUCCAGGCCAGUCUGAAUCCACCUCCAUCCCUUCUAGGGCUUCAGUCAUAUUCAGAAACCUGUGGCUGCUGAAGGGGACAACAGCGGCACCCCGCCCAAGAAGGUCCCGCAGAAGGACCAG
This 1507-nucleotide long non-coding RNA is filed under the name Zalophus californianus (California sea lion). RNAcentral's name for it is "lncRNA (ENSZCAG00015010468.1)". Lineage: Eukaryota; Metazoa; Chordata; Mammalia; Carnivora; Otariidae. The record is from RNAcentral.